RNAcentral lists this long non-coding RNA (15782 nucleotides) under Heterocephalus glaber (naked mole-rat). Its description in RNAcentral is "lncRNA (ENSHGLG00000034468.1)". The record is from RNAcentral. Lineage: Eukaryota; Metazoa; Chordata; Mammalia; Rodentia; Bathyergidae.
AAGCCCAGAGCCAUCUCUGAACAUGGAAGCCAGACAGAAACAGCUCCCACUUGACAAGUCCAGGAGAGAAUUUAGGAAAGCAGUUCUUAGUACAGCGGGACAUAGACUUGGGUAAGGACCAGCGUUCAACAAGGAGUGACUGGAAAAAAGUGUUCAGUGUUUUAAACAUUGCCAAUCGGAGUAACAUGAAGCUGAACUUGUUAUUUUAGCUGAGCUCUACAUAGUUUUCAUCCUGGAAUUGACUACUAUAUAUAGUAGAGUGUUAUUCAUGCACUUGAACUGAUUAUGUGUGUCGGACUGAAAUGUCCCAGUGGUGCCACAAAGGAAAAGAACAUGGUAAUCUUCCGUGGAUUCCGUUUUCCAGAUGCACAGCAGCAGAAGACCCACUGAGAUCAGCCACGGACUAAGGAUCUCACUACGUAGUCCAGCCUGGCCUUGAACUCAUGAUGAUCUUCCUACCUCAGCCUCCCGAGACCUGGGAUUACAUGUGUGUAUCACCACUACCAGCAUCAACCUAUGAAUAUUAAACAAAGUACUUGACUCCUGAGCUUCCACUUUGAUGAUAGUGAUUGGUUGGGAGAUGGGCAUGUGACACAAAACAGGCCAAUCAAAGCCCCUAAAACUCAGUUCUGGUUCUUUUACUGGUGCAAUUAGAAAAGUGGCUCUUUCUUCUGUAGUCGCUCCUUAGGACCCUGGAAGCAUGUAGUUGCCAGGAACUACCGGCAGAGCCUAUGAACAGAACCAACUCUGAAGAAGUUGGGCUGAUGACGGGAUUCUAGCAUUUAAUUCCUAGUUUAAUUCUUGAAUCAACCUAUGCCUGGCAUAUAGGUGUGGGCUUUUCAGUUUACCUUCCUCAACCAAUUCCCAUUUUUGCUUAAAUCAGUCUGGGCUGAAUUUCCCGACCCCUGACUCAGACACAGGCAAAGCCUGUAAAAACUUCCAUUCUUGCUGGGGAUUUAGCUCAGUGGUUUCACCGCCUGCUGCUCAAGCGCAAGGACCCGAGUUCGAUCCCGGUACCAAAAAACAAACAAAUUUCCAUUCUUGAAGGUUAUUUGUUGUUGUUGUUUUUACCCUCAUAUUCACGUUUAUGUUUUGGUGGUACUGGGGAUUGAACCCAAGGCCUUUGCAGUUAGCUACAUCCCCAAACCCCUGGCUUCUUCUUUUGAGAAAGUGUUCCACAAAGUUGCCCAGACUGGGCUCAAGCCCAGCACCCCCCUGACUCAACCCCCCAGAGUGCUGGGACUACAGGCAUGCACCACCGCACCCAGCUGCACAUUUCUUACUUAGAUCCCCUUAGGUGGAGGCAUAUAUCUUUCCAUUUAUUCUAGAAUCUCUUCCUCUCUUCUGUUGUGGGCUAUGCCUCCAUCAUCUGUACAUGUGGUGGCAUGACUGACCCUUGUAGGCCUCUGUGAUUGGAGCCCCUGCUUUGUAUUCAAGUACCAGCACAGCAAGAGGAGAGGGAAAGUCGGAGACCAGAACAAGUAUUUAUUGAUUUCCUCAGAAAGGAGAGCUGAGCACAACCUGGUCGAUCACCUCAGAGACUCAGCAUUAUGAAUUGCUCCUGCAGAGUCAUUUUUAUACAAGACGAGGUAGCCCUGUACCUGGGCGGGACUAAUCUGGGUUGUAGCUUGAAGGACAUGUUCUGCAAAGGUCUCAGCCAAGGAAGGUGCUUGUCCCGGGUAGAACCUCUGGUAGAUUGGGGUUGUACGGGGCUGGUGAAGAAACUGGCAUGAGGAACUGCCAGAAAAGGCCUGGAGAUAGUUUAGAGACCCCAAGCUACUGAUCUUGGGAGUACUUUUUACUUAAUUUCAUUAUGUAUUUCAUGAUUCGAAAGUCAAAACUAAAUAGAAGCUAGGUGCAGUAGGGCAUCCUAGCUACUCAGGAUGCUGAAGCAGGAGGAUCUCAAGUUUGAGACCAGCCUGGGCAACUUGGCAAGAACCUGUCUCAAGCUAGACAUAGUGGCAUUUGCCUAUCAUCCCAGCAUUUAGGAAGCUGAGGCAGGAGGAUCACCGAAAGUUCCAGGCCAGCUACAUGGUAGGUUCAAGGCCAGCCUGAAGUGUAUAGUAAGGCCCUAUUUAAAAUGAAAAAACAAACAAACAAAAAUAAAUAAAAGGGCUAGGGAUGUAGCUCAGUGGUAGAGCCCUUGCCUAGCAGGCUCAAGGCCCUAGAUUCAAUCCCCAGCACAGAAAAAGAAAAUUAAACACAAAAGCAAAAAACUGAAUAGAAAAGUACACACAACCAAGGAUGGGAUCUGUUUGUUUAUUCUUCCAGGGGCUUUAUGCAAAAAUAAGCAGAUGUGAAUAUAUUUCUAUCUUUCCCUUUUGUUACACAAAAGGUAAGUAGGCUUUGCUUUGAUAUAUAUGCAUUUUAUAUCUUCAAAUGUGUUCAUUCAUAGAGUGCCCUUCCUUGAAAUUCUGUGAUUAUUCCUGGUUGCUUUCUGCAUAAUAUUUCCAGUGGCUCAGAACCUUAUUUAGCAUAUUUUACCACUUCUCUGCACUGUUACCCUGGAGACACCUUGGUUUAAUGCUGGAGAAUCCUCUUUCAUCAGCGUUAGAAAAUUCAAAUCAAGGGGCUAAAAUGUGAGUCUGGCUCAAAACUAGAAAAAAGAGAAACAAACAAAUCUAGGAAAUGUAAUCUAAAUGAUAUUCACAGAGACUGUUGUGGGUGUCAGGGAGAUAGCUAUGAAAAUAGAAGAGUUAAAAGGACUCUAAACUUUUAGACCAGAUAGAGAUUAAUAUUGACAGGUACCCAGAAUAACCCAGAAAGGUAUAAUACAUGAUUUUGAAUAGAUGUCAAAUUUAGUCUUCUUGGUUAGGCAAAAAUCUCUAAUCACAAGAUUCUGUUGACCUGCAUGCUUUUAACACACAAUAUCUUCCAAUCCUUUCAACACAGAGAGGUUUAAACAGGGCUUUGAUGAAGGUUGGCAGCCUCAGUACUCAGACCUGGGAACAUGGGGCAGUUUCACUUGAGGAAUGGGAAAGAGAACAUUUUCACACCAAGUCUACACAGUGGAUGUUCUUUUUUUUUUUCUUAAAAAAAUUACAUUCCAUCUUCAAUAAAAGAGAAAUGGCUAAAAAAUGAAUUUCAGGGAAACAAUCGGUUGAAAAUGAAAGGCAAUCAGAGAUACACCUAUCAUUUCACUGCAGGGAGACUUGAUAAUUCUCUCUCUCUCUCUCUCUCUCUCUCUCUCUCUCUCUCUCUCUCUGUUUCUCUUUUGUUUUUUAAGGCAGGGUCUCCCUUUGUAGUUCAGGCUGGCUCUGAACUCACUAUGUAGCCCAGGCUGGUCUCGAACUCUCAGCAAUCCUCCUACCUCAGCCUCCCAAGUGUUGGGAUUACAGGCGUGCGCCACCACACCCAGCUCAACCUAUUCUCUUAAUCCUCCGGCACGGGGAUGGACCAGGCCCAGUGCUGUGCAUGUACUGACGGCCAACUGAGCAAAACCUACCUGCAGGUGUCCCCUUAAUUCUUUGGGGUAUUGUGCAAGGGUUUCUUAACUGUUCGGUAGAGAAAAACUACUUGAGUUACCACUGAGUCUUAUUUUUCUGGUCAAUUUUUAUUUUUUUGUAUUAUAAAACUACAUAUUUAACCUGCCUGGUGAAGGUUCCUCUGGAUUGGGGAGAUUCUACAUGAGUUACAUAAACACAUUUGCAUUUUUAUGGUUUCCUACAGGCCUUCAUUGAAGUAAACAACCUAAGCAUUUUCUUCUUUUAUCGUCUAAGGAAUUAGUAUUUCUUGCUCACUUCUCCUUUUGAUCUUUGAAAUUCUAAUGGGGGAGUUCAAAGAGUCAUGAGUAAAACAUUUUUGAGUCUUUAAAUAAAUAUAUCUACCAUUGGUGUUUUGCCACGCUACAAAUCCCAAGGAAUAAAUGAAAACUCAAAGCAAACAUACUCAAAGAAAAUAAGCCCUCUAAAAAUACAGUACAGUUUCUGAAAAACACAGCCUUAAUAAUUAAAGAUUAAAGUUUCAUCUUUCUGAUGCUGAAAAUGUAAUAUUUUGUUUGUUGUACAGAUGAUGUUGUAAAUGCAUUUGUUUGUUGUAAAUACUAGGAUUUUAGGAAACAGUGAUUGGACAUACACAGUUUUUCAUUUAAAUAGAUGCUUUAUGCUAUUGCCAAAUUUCAAUAAUUUUAUUCUGUGUGCAAUAAAGCAAUCAAAGAACAUACAUUUUGGAGUUAAUGCUUUUAUUCUAGCAAAACACAUUUUCUGAGGGCUAAUUCAGCAUUAAACUUAUUCCAAUCAUAAAUCCGUAGACACAAAAUGUGAUUUAGCUAAUAGGUUUACACUUGUAAAAUAAAUGAAGAUUCAAUUAAAAGCCACUAGGUUAUGCCUAAGCAUCAGUUAAUUUUUGCCUCAGGGCAUACACUAUUUCUAUAUUAAGUAGUCUAAUAGAAGGCACUUUUACUUUCAAGGUUUUAUUUCUUUACUCACACACCAUGUGUGAAAAAUCCAUUCUUGGCACAACCCAUUAUUCAAUGGGACUUGAUUACUUACAUAUGCUUCUGACGGUUACAAAACCUGCAUUGUGUGGUAUGGAGUGGAUUAGGUUGUAGACUGCAAACAACAGGAAAAGAAGUUGGCUCACGACUUGAAUAGAUCGGCAUAUGUAACCGGAGAACAACAGAGAUUCUCCUUGUCUGUGGCUUUUUUAGAAUGUAGUAAACAUCGCUUCUCGGCCUUUUGGCUAAGAGCAAGUGUAGAAUGUAGUAAACAACUGUCAUUCAGGGAUGGGUCACCAACCAAAAAUGGUAACAAAACAAAAAAUCUUAAGGAAGCUAUGUAGAAGAGAAACUAGUAUAUUAGAUGCGUAACCCAAAGAGAAAAAUACAGAAGAUGAUGAAAUCCGCAAGAACAUUUGGAAAACAGGGCCAGGGAUUUAGCUCAGUGGUUUUGCCUCCUGCUGCGCAAGCGCAAGAACAUUUGGAAAUCAAGAAAUCCGACUUUAGCAGGGGCAGUGGCACAUGCCUGCAAUCCCAGCACUCUGGGAGGCUGAGGCAGGAGGUCCACAGGUCCAAGCCCAGGCUGGACAACUUAGCAACUCAUUGAGACCCUGUCUCAAAAUAAAAUAGAAUUGGGGAUGUAGCUCAGAGAAAAAGCCCUGGGUUUAAUACCCAGUAUGUAACUCUCUCUCUCUCUCUCUCUCUCUCUCUCUCUCUCUCUCUCUCUCUCUCUCUGGAAAAGAAAUCUGACUUCAUGUAUACUUAUCUAAUACUUCAGAGCUUUGAUUCUAUUAUGAUGCAGACCUAAAGAUCAGUGGAUUCAAAAACAAGAACAACUGCAUUUACAAUUUUGUUUUUCUUCCCUCCUCACAGCUAACUCCACAGUUACUGAGUUUCCACUUUGUAAUUCUUUGCUCAUCAAAGAUCAUUCUUGGCUCAUCAAGGGCAUUUGAUUCACUCUCACUCAUUACUAAUUUAAUUGACAAUGAUGCUGUUAUAAAUAUCAAAUUAUUCUUCAUGGAAUUAUCUGCUUUCCAAUGACUAAAUGUCACCAUUAAGUUUUAAAUCCACUUCCUUUAUAAAAAUGCCUUUAUGGAAUGAGUCACUUUUCUUUCAGUGUCUCUCAGAACUCUUAUCAGUCAUGAUUUUUAAAAAUAGUAUCAGUACAGAUCUUUUAAGUGUAAAAUUAUUUUAUUGGGUGUUUGAGUCUGAUCCAUCAUGCCCUUGAUCAGGGCUGUUAUUGCUGGUCCUGAGGCUUUAUUUACAAAGUAGUCAAUGAGGGAUUAAAUUUAAUUUAGAGCCAGUUUCUAAUCACUGAUUAUCAUAGUAAUAUAUUUUCUGCUAUGUGCAGUACUUCUAUAUAUUUCCAGAAUGCCAUAGUUUUGCUAUCUACUUUGUAGAAUUUACAACUCUUUUGGUUAUCCGAGGAGUAUUUUUUUAAGCUUUAAAUCAAGAUUAAAUCAGGGCCAGGCAUGGUGGCACAUGCCUGUAAUCCCAGCACUUGGGAGGCUGAGACAGAAAGAUCACUGAGAGUUCGAGGCCAGCCUGGGCUACAUAGUGAGUUCAAGGCCAGCCUGAACUGCAUAGUGAGACCCUGUCUCAAAAAAACAAAUAAUCAUAAUAAUAAGGGCAGGGGAUUUAGCUCAGUGGUUCUGCCUCCUGCCUCGCAAGCAGAAGGACCCAAGUUCGAUCCCCAGUACCAAAAAGAAAAAAUAAUAAUAAAUAAAAAUUACAACAUUCAAAAAGGCAACUCAGUACUGGUUUGUUGAAGAAUUUAGGCUGGCUUAAACAACACAGUGAGAUCCUGUCUCAAAAUAAAAGAUCAAAUCACUUGCCAAGCAUGGUGACUCAAUGCAUGUAAUCCCAGCACUCAUGAAGCUGAGACAGGAGGAUUGCCAUGAAUUCGAGGCUCAACAAACAAAAAUCAAAUCACUUACAUUUAAAAAAAAUACAUUUAUUUUUAAACAAAUAUGUACAUUAUGCCCUCUGGAAAGAGAAGGAAUCACUCAACUAAAUUCAAGGAGAUGUGGCAAUUUCUUUGUCUGCUUUUUUAAUGUUGCUUGCAUAGCUUACUUUAAAAAAAAAAAAAAAGAGGAAAAGGAAAUAUCCAGAAAGGAGCAUUGAGGGAAGAAAGAAAUUCCUGUGAUGUCAAGCUCAUAUUCACGAAUUCUAACAAUCUAACUCAGUGCAUGUGCUGUCUGGUUCAAGUAGCUACAGGUCCCAGAGGAGUAGUAAGUGUACCUGUCACCUCUGGAGAACCCUUGCUACAUGUCACCCACUUCUUCUUCCUGUCCCUACCACUCAAUAAGUGACUUCUGUUUCACAUUAUCUGGAGUGUCUGGGGCCAACUUACAUAAAACAUCGUGGUUCGUAAUGAGAAACAUUUCAAACAUUUUGCCUUCCUAGUUAGCUUCCAGUGAGCAGCCAUGUCUGAAGAGCUGCUAUUUAAAGAGCUCUGUUUUCUUUACAGCCAGUUCUUAACCCUGGGACUAAAGCAUGUUUGGUUAAGGAUACUAAAUUGAGGGCUGGGGAUGUAGCUCAGUGGUUCUGCCACCUGCCUCACAAGUGCAAGGUCCUGAGUUCGAUCCCCAGUACCAAAAAAAAAAAAAUGCAAGAAUACUAAGUUGAGACAGGCUCCUUCAUUUACAAAAAAAGAAAAAAAGAGAGAGUGCAGAACAAGUUCUGCAAUGUUUUUUUAAUAAUUCAAACUGAAAGCAAAUGAAUGUUUCAUUUCUUUAGCCAACCAUGUGUUUCAUUUUAUUUAUUUUUCAAGUUAAUGCCAAGAAAAGUCAGUUCUUUACACAAACUGUUUGGAUGGAGUUCUUAGGAGUAAAGGAAAAUGGAUUAAAUAUUUGUUUUAAGGACAAUGAUAUUAUAGACUCAAGAAGAACAGAGGGCAGAGGAGAAUGGCAAAAUUUAAUCACUCAAACUUGAGGGAAGUAGCCUUGGUUUGAGAUAUUUGUACAGAGAGCUUUAGUAACAUUUACCUUUUAUACUUUCCUUCCCUGCCAACCCCUCAUCCCUCCCAUACCAGCAAUUGAACUCAGAACCUUGAGCUUGCCAGGCAGGCGAGGCACCACUGGGCUAAAUCCUCGACCUGAUACUUUCCUUCUUUGAAACCUGGUACUCUCAAAUCCAACUACUGUGUGUUGGGGGUGCUGGUGUUCAAACUCAGGCCCUCAAGUACACUAAGCAGGUGCUCUACCACUAAGCCAUGCCAGCCUCCAUUUAUUUUUGUCCUCAGCCUUGCACAACUAGGUAUUAAUGUCCCUCUGUAACCUUCCCUCCACUUUCUGGAAUACAUGGCUUCCUAGCUCUUCUGUUGUCUCCUCAUUUUAACCUCUUUUGCUCUUUCUUGCCCUUUGUCCUGAAGAGUACUGUUUAUUUGCUAAGCAGUGUUUACAGGGUGUCUCCAACGUCCCAAGCACACACAUUUGGGGUGGGGGGAGCACAGUACCAGGAACUAAAUCUGACCUACAUCUCCAGUGCUUUUUUAUUUUUUAUUUUGAGUCAAGGUUUUGCUAAGUUCCCCAUUGUUUGAUUUUGAGAUUCUCCUGCCUCAGCCUCCCAGAGCGUCAAGAUUACAGGCAUGCGCCACCACACCCAGCUCCAAGCACACUUCUUAGGACAGUCUCAGGCCUUUCUUUUCAUCUGCCCACUGUGGGCAGCCACUGUACUUACUGUCCGGUCCUGUUAGUUCUUAAUUCCUCUUGUCCUAUCCAGUCCCUCCUCAAAGGAUAAAGCAAGGAAUUCAUAACCAAUGAGAACAAACAAGAAAACCAGCCAAAGAAAAUGCUGUGUUUCUUUUCCCUUUCUUGCGUUUAGGAGGAAACUCAUGAUAUAUCUCCACAUCUGUGUUAUCUCACUUGGUUUAUAGAGUUUGUGAGAGAAAGAGAUUUGAUUUGUGGCUCUGCUUGUAUUGUCUGGGUGAUCUUGGACAAGUUACUUAACCAGAUGCCUUAACCAGAAAUCCUUUCUGGAGCGAGGCAGUAGUGUAAAUAAAUAAAGGACCUUGCCCAGGCUUCAUUUCCUAAUUAUAGAGGAAACAUAGCAUAAAGAUUGAAAGCACAGGCUCUAGACUUAAACAUACUUGGGUAAGAGUCCUGGACUUUCCACUGACUUGAUAUGUGGCCUCAGUUUCCUCAUUUGUGAAACAGAACCAUUAAUAUCAACUUCGUAAGAUUUGAAUGCGAUAAUGUAUAGAAUGAAAGCAUGCACAUGCUCGUGCAUGUGUGUGUGUGUGUGUGUGUGUGUUUUACUGGGGAUUGAACUCAGGUUUUCCUAUUUGUUCACAAUGAGCUACAUCCCCAGCCCUUUUUUCAUUUUGAGACAGGAUCUUCCUAAAUUGCUAAGUUGCCCAAGCUGGGCUUGAACUUGUGAUCCUCCUGCUGCAGCUUCCCAAAGUGCUGAGGUUACAGGCGUAUGCCACUACAGCACACUUAUUAUUAUUGCUGCAUAACAAAUUACUCUAAAACUUGGGGUUAUGACAUAACAACUAUUUUAUUUGCUUGUGAUUUCAUGUGCCAGGAAAUUGGAAAGUGCUCUGAUGGAUAGUGUUCUCUUGGGAUUUCUCAGGUGCCUGCAAUCAGACCUUGGCCGGGCUGCCGCUGCGUGAAGCUGUGGUGGGCUCACUCACAACAGGUGACUGGGAGCCCGAAGGUGACCCCCAGUUGUCACACACCUCUCAUGUGGUGCUGACUUUCCGCAGCGGAAGUGCCCAAGAGAAUGAGAGGGAAGCUGCAGAAGCCCCACACCAUCACUUCCCGUGGUCCAUGGGGACAGCAGUCACAGGUUCAUCCAGAUACAGGGGGGGAGGGGAAAAGUGUCAAAGAGUUUUCCAGGCACAUCUUAAACGCUCCAUAGUCAAGUUGAUAAAUUGUGGUGUACUCAGCAUGUGCUUCACAAAGAUUUUUCAUUUGUUUUCUGUGUUUUGGGGUGUUUUUUUUUUUUUGGUACCGGGGAUCGAACUCGGGUCCUUGAGCUUGAGCAGCAGGCGGGGAAACCACUGAGCUAAAUUCCCGGCCCCAAGAUUUUUCAUUUGACUUUGGAUGUAUUAAUGAUCUACAGAUCACAUUUUAAAACUUCUUUUGGUUUUUGUUGUUGUUGUUGUUGAUUGUUGUUUUGUCUUGUUUUGGAGACAGGUUAUCACUGUGUAGCCCAGGAUGACAUCGAACUCCCAGCGAUCCUCCUGCCCCAGCCCCCAGUGCUGGGAUUACAGGUGUGCACUACUAUGCCCCGCCUAAAAAAUCGCUAAGCCACAGUUAGAUGCCAGGCAGUGGGCGGCUGUGCCUUCAGCGCAUGCGCAUGCGCGUUGUCAGACCCCAGGGCCUCUUCCAUCCUUGUCAAGGAGUGCUGACUUUUCGGCCUUUCACGUCACACCCGAUUGUCUACGUGACAUAGUGUCUGCAUAUUCGAGGGACAUGGAGAAAUGGAGGUGGGAAAGGUGGCAUGGAAAUGUGAAAGCCUCAACUAUCACAGAGGGAAAUCAAUAGGUUAUAUUCAGAAUCAAUCAGCUGGGAAGUUUAUUUAGAAAAUGAUGAUAAAUGUUAGAAGGGAAAGCUAAAAGUUGAGGUGACUGCCUCUGCAAAGUAGAAAUGGGAGGUCUAUAGAGAUCAGGCUAGAGACUGACGGGUUUUUUUGUUUGUUUUUUUGGUACGAGGGAUCGAAUUCAGGACCUUGUGCUUUUGAGGCAGGCAGCAGAACCACUGAGCUAAAUCCCUGGCCUGGGACUGACAGUUUUUCAAAACAGGAAUCUUCAAGCAAUGUUACAUUUUAAUGAUAGUACAUGUAUUACAUGUAUGAAAAUAUAAAUCAAGUGAAAAUAUACAAAUAUAUUGCCCAUGGGGCUGGGGAUUUAGCUCAGUGGUUCUGGCUCCUGCCUUGCAAGUGCAAGAUCCCGAGUUCGAUGCCCGGUACCAAAAAAAAAAAAAAGGAAUAUAUUGCCCAUGCAAUGUGAAUAUAUCUGGGGGAGGAGCUAUAAAGAUUGCAGUCAGAGCUGGGUGGGGUGGCGCACACCUGUAAUCCCAGCACUCUGGGAGGCUGAGGCAGGAGGGUUGCUGUGUGUUUGAGGCCAGCCUGGGCUACAUAGUGAGUUCAAGGCCAGCUUGAACUACAUAGAGAGACCUUGACUCAAAAAGAAAAAAAAAAGAAAGAAAAGAAAAGAAAGAAAGAAAGAAAGAGAAACUAUGUAGUGAGACCAUGUCUCAACAACAACAAAAGGGACCAAUAUAUUUUUUCUACUUUUAGUGCUUUCUCCAUCACAACUGUCAGCUUUCACUUUUGUUCUUUGCAGAUUAUUCAAAAUCACUCCGUGUUGGGGCUGGGGAUUUAGCUCAGUGGCGCCAUCCCUGCCUCACAAGUGCAAGGUCCUGAGUUUGAUCCCCAGUACCCCCCCCCCCAAAAAAAAUCACUCCAUGUUAUAAUCUCAUUUCCCAGCUAUAAACAUGACUUCAAGCUACAUUUUCUGGCCGAACUUGUCAUAUCAGUUACAUCCAUCUCACUGGGACUGCCUAAUCCAGUGUGGAAUGAUGGCUGAGGACUUGGAGCUCUGAAAUCCAGCACACCUGGUCUUAUGCUCGCUGGGCUGGCUGGGGUUGGAUGGCCAUGGGGAGGUUUAUCUCAAUGCCCCAGUUUCUCAUCUGCUCAUGGGGUAGUAAGAGUGCCAAUCUCACAGGUGCAAGGCUCAAAAAAGCUGAUUCUUGUCAGGUGUGGUGGCGCAUGCCUAUGACCCUAGCAUUGGAAAGGCUGAGGCAGGAGGAUUGCUGCAAGUUUGAGAACAGCCUAGGCUCCAUAGUGAGUUCAAGGCUUUUCAAAAAAACAAAACAAAAUGCACUUUUCCAGUUUAUCUUCUCAGAAAUACAACUGUAUGACAUUUUUUUAGCAGAGACAUUCCUGACUAUGCCUGCCUGCUCUUUAAUAACAGCAUGUAUUUGUUUGAAAGACUCUUUGGAAUAAUCACCUCUUAUUUUUUUAUUUUUAAAUUUGGGGGGGGCGGAUUUUUGAGACAGGAUCUCACUAUCUAAUUGAGGCUAGCCUUGAACUCUCUAUGUAGUCCAGGCUGACCUCGAACUCAUGGUGACCCUCCUGCCUCAGCCUCUGAGUGCUGGAAUUACAUGCAUAUGCUACUGUGCAAGGUCAGAAAAACACAUUUACAGGAUGCCUGUGUGAGACUCACUCACAAUAGGCCCUGGAGGUAUAAGAUGAAUAAGGCACAUUCCCUGACUCUGAGAGGCCUAAAACUAGAACAGGAAGGACAUAUAUAAUUUGACAAGUGAUAAAGACAGGAAGCCAGGCAUGGUGGUGCAUGCCUGUGAUCCCAGUAUCUGGGAGGCUGAGGCAGGGGGAUCACCACAAGUUCAAGGACAGCCUGGGUUACAUAACGAGCUCAGGGCCAGCCUGCACUACAUAGCAAGAUCCUGUCUCAAAAACAAACAAAACAAUAAACAAACAAAUACAAUAAAGGUAGGACAAAGAAUUUAAAGAAGGUUGUAGGGGCUGAGGAUGUAGCUCAGGGAUACAGGACUUGCCUAGCAAGGGUGAGGCUCUGGGUUUGAUCCCCAGUCCCGCAAAAGAAAAAUAAAUACAUAAAUAGAUGAAGAUUGUAGACUCUUUCUCCAGUGUCACAAAGGGACAAGGUCCCUCCUCAACAAUGAGCUAAAGACAUGAAAUCUGUCACCACAGUGGCAGGAAUGGGAGAGAUGAGCCAAGCUCAGUGUAGACUGUGCCAAGUAUCUCGAAAGCCCCUCCCAUACUGCGAAGGACACAGGGUAGUGACAGCACCGGGCUGGCAGGGGUGGGGGACAGGGACAGGAAAGUCUGAUAGGUAUCAGAGGAGCAAAGUAGUUGCAAAAUGAAGAAUUAAUGUUAUAAGAAGAGGCCUGGCCUUUGCCUUUGGCUACUGACAGGUGACCUCUAGGUUCCAGGAUGUCUCGCCUGAUAGGGGUGUUUUUGUUUGCCAGGGGCUUUGGCCUCUCUGAGAGUCUAACCUGUGAUUUAUGAUGGAGGCUUUGUGUCACGCCCAUCACUUCUGACCUUCAGAAGGGAUGAGAGAAGAAAAGUCAGCCACGUGGACAAUAGGUGAUCGAACUCCCAUAAAAGUCCUGGACACCAAAGGCCUGCAUGAGCUUCCUUGGUUGGCAAAAUCUGUGGCCAUCAGGACUCCAUAAUUCCAUGGGGAGAGGAUGAUUGCCAUGCCGAGAAUGCUCAGACACCUCCUGACCUCUGCCCUUGCAUCUCUUCCCUUGGCUGCUUUAAUUUGUGUGCUUUGCUUUAAUCACAUGGGAGGGCAGUCAUGGAACCUCUGGAUUAGUAGCCAGCUGUCUGAAGGGAAGGAGGUCCUGGGAACACCAGCUUGCCACUGGUGUCUGAAGUAAAGUUGGUUUUGUGGGGACCUGGGACUGGCCCCCGCAUCUGAAGUAUUAACCACACACCACAGGAGGAAGAAAUGGGAGGGGAGGAUUCCAGCCAGCUGCCUCCUGCCCUCCCUCCCCUCUUCUCGGUGGGGCCCUCCACCAACUGGGGCUGGGCCGAGGGGGCUGUGGAUUCAGCCCAGAUAGUUCGCUGUUCUCAAGGCAUAGAUGGAAGAUAUUUAGCACCUGGGCCCAGAUCCUUGCUCUGUCCCUACCAGCUGUGGUCUUCAGAGUGUCUUGUGAGACCAGUUUCCUCCAGUGAAGGACAGCGCAGGAAGUUUCUUGUGUGGCACUGCCUGCAAGGGAAGGGCUCAGUGGCCUCCAACAGGAGGGAUGGCGCCUCUGCCUCUGCUCCUCCUGGGCUCUAAGGACCCAACCCCGGGGACCCCACUCCCCCCAGUAUUCCAUGCUGACCACUGGGCCCAGCAAUUGUCACUGUGCUGGGAGCCCGACUUGUUUGCUUAACCCUGGGAUCUCCUAGGAAUGGCACUUUGCGGCUAUAAGUAACCAUGGCAACUGGCUGCUGCUACCUGAUAACUAAAGCGAGUUGGUAACAGCCUGAAUAAUGACAGGGAGAAAGGCUGAGAACAAAGGCUUUCAGAAGCCAGGUUAAGCAAAAUCCGUGGUCCAGACUUGGGUUGGAUGUUUCAGUCCCUCAAGAGUUAGCAACCAGCUCUACACUGGGGACCCUCUCUCUUGACCUCACUGCACACAGCAAUUGGCCUCACAGUAAAUAAGAGUCAGGAUCCUUGCCACUCCGCCUGCUGACUUCUAAUGAGCUACGUGGAGCCGGAGCCAUUUGUACUGAGAAGCUCUCAGACAGACCUAGGACUGUAGAGAAAAGGGGUGGGUUGGUAUGCCAGGCAAAAAUACCAUCAAGUGGGUGGUUGCAACAACAGAAAUGUAUGGUCUCAUAGUUUUGCAAGCCAGAAGUUUGAGAUCAAAGGCUCUGCAGCGGGCUGGGGAUGUCGCUAACUGGUAGAGUACUUGCCGAAUGUGUGUGAGAGGCCCUGGGUUCAAUCCCCAGUACCACAAAAACCACGGCAUCCAGAAGGGUGGGUUCUGUCUGAGGGCUGAGAAAAGGCAUCUGUUCCAUACCUGUACCCCAGAGCCCAGUGGUUGCUGGUAAUCUUUGGUGUUCCAUGGUUGGCAGGUAGAAUCACCAGCCUAGUCUCCACCUGCAUUUUCACAUGCUGUUCUCCUGGUUCCAAAUUUCCCUUUUUGAAAAAAAAUUAGUACAUAUUUACAGUACACAAUAAUUGUAUUCAUGGUAGGGAGUUGGUACAUGUACAUAGCACAUCUUAACAAAUGUCCCUUUGUAUAAAAAUAUCAGCCAUGUUGGGCAUAGUGGUGCAUGUCUGUAUUCCUGGCAUUCUGGAAGGCUGAGGCAGGAGGAUCCCAAAUUCAAAUCCAGCCUGGGCUACUUAGUGACUUAGCAAAACCCUGUCUCAAAGUGAAAAAUAAAAAAAGGGGUAGGGACAUAGCUCAAUAUGAGGGUCCUGGGUUCAAUUCCCAGUACACACACACAAAAGAGUCAAAAGGAUUAGGGUCUCCUUAAUGACAGCAUUUUAACUAAUGACAUUUACAACAAACCUGUUUACAAAACAGUCCACAUUUUGGGGUACUGGAGCAUAGGAAUUUAACCUUAGUGGGGGGUGAGGAAGGUCCCCCACCACCAUCCCAAGCUCCCAGGGCACAGAAGGUGAGCUGCGUGGGUGCCCCCAUGGAAAUGAGAAAACCCAUAAACAAGCCUUAAAAACAGACUUCUGGAUCACCUACAGCAACCCCAAAGGGAAACGAGAUGGAACAAUCUGAUACUCAGCCACCUGGACUCUCUGAACUGGCAACAAAAGAGGAUCUGGGAAAAAUGAAAUCAGAAAUAAUUACUCAGAUAACAGCAAAGAAUUUGCUCAUGGUGCAAGACAUGAUUAAUAAAUCUAGAGAGAACACAGAUAAAAAAACAGAGGAUCUGAGGAAUAUGAUGGAAUCCCAACACAGGAAACAAAUGGAAUCCAUAAAACAGAUACAAACAGAUUUCCAAGAGACUAAAAACUCCAUCGAAAGUCUGCGCAGCAGAAUGAACCAAUGUGAAGAUAGAAUUUCAGAUAUAGAAGAUAAGAUUGCAAUUAGUGAGGAGGAAAAGAAAAAUUGCUUUAAAAUUGUAAGGGAACAUGAGAAAUCAAUCCAGCAGCUGCUAGACGAUGCAAAGAAGAAUAACAUAAGACUGAUUGGAGUCAAUGAAGAAAGAAGAGAGAGUGUAGAUGACAUAAAAAAACUUUUCACAGAAGUGAUGGCAGAAAACUUCCCAAGGAGGGGAAAAGAACUUGACAUACAGAUAAGUGAGGCAUAUAGGACUCCAGCUAGCCUCAAUCAAAAAAAUCUACACAUAGGCAUAUAAUAGUUAGGAUUCCAGAAAUCCAACAGAAGAAUAAAAUUCUACAAGCAGUGAGAGAAAAGAAACAAAUCACAUACAAAGGAAAGCCCAUCAGAAUCACAGCAGACUUCUCAAUGCAAACCCUCAAGGCAAGAAGAGCUUGAAGUGAUGUAUUUCAAGCCCUAAAGGAAAACAGCCUCCAACCCAGAUUGAUGUACCCUGCAAAACUAUCUUUCAAAAUUGAUGGAGAAAUAAGAUACUUUCACGAUAAAGAGCACCUCAGGAACUUCAUGAAUACCAAACCGGCACUCCAAAAAAUUUUAGACAAUACCCUAGGAAAAGACAAUGAGGAUCACAACCCCAGGAAACCCAGCAGAAUGAAUCCAUUGGGCGUGACAAAUUAAACCCAAAGGGGGAGAAUCCAACAAAAAGAAAAAGUCAUGACAAGGCUUUUAAAAUUUUUGACUUCAUCUCCCUAAUGAGUGUAUAAUUCAAUCUUAUUAUUGUACUGAUUAGUAUUUUUCUGAUUCUAGAGUUGCACACCAUUCCUUGUGCUAUACUGGCU